RNAcentral lists this ribosomal RNA (852 nucleotides) under uncultured Bacteroidota bacterium. RNAcentral describes it as "bacterial SSU rRNA". It matches the Rfam family "Bacterial small subunit ribosomal RNA", at positions 636 to 1503 of the family's 1533-position model. The record is from RNAcentral. Lineage: Bacteria; Pseudomonadati; Bacteroidota.
GGAUUCCUGAAUCUAAUAGAAGUAGGCGGAAUAUGACAUGUAGCGGUGAAAUGCUUAGAUAUGUCAUAGAACACCGAUAGCGAAGGCAGCUUACUAUGUUAGUAUUGACGCUAAUGCACGAAAGCGUGGGGAGCGAACAGGAUUAGAUACCCUGGUAGUCCACGCCGUAAACGAUGAUUACUCGCUAUUGGCGAUACACUGUCAGUGGCUAAGCGAAAGUGAUAAGUAAUCCACCUGGGGAGUACGAUCGCAAGGUUGAAACUCAAAGGAAUCGACGGGGGCCCGCACAAGCGGUGGAGCAUGUGGUUUAAUUCGAUGAUACGCGAGGAACCUUACCAGGUCUUAAAUGCAUAACGAACGAUUGGGAAACCAAUCUUUCUUCGGACGGAAUGCAAGGUGCUGCAUGGUUGUCGUCAGCUCGUGCCGUGAGGUGUCAGGUUAAGUCCUAUAACGAGCGCAACCCCUAUUCUUAGUUGCCAGCGGUUCGGCCGGGGACUCUAAGAAAACUGCCAGUGCAAGCUGUGAGGAAGGUGGGGAUGACGUCAAAUCAUCACGGCCCUUACGACCUGGGCCACACACGUGCUACAAUGGUAGGUACAAAGGGCAGCCACUUGGCGACAAGGAGCUAAUCUCUAAAACCUAUCUCAGUUCGGAUUGGAGUCUGAAACUCGACUCUAUGAAGCUGGAAUCGCUAGUAAUCGCGCAUCAGCCAUGGCGCGGUGAAUACGUUCCCGGGCCUUGUACACACCGCCCGUCAAGCCAUGGAAGCUGGGAGUACCUGAAGUCGGUAACCAUAUAGGAGCUGCCUAGGGUAAAACUAGUAACUGGGGCUAGUCGUAACAAGGUAACCGU